UACGUGGGGGGUAAGCGUUGUUCGGAAUUACUGGGCGUAAAGGGCUCGUAGGCGGCCAACUAAGUCAGACGUGAAAUCCCUCAGCUUAACUGGGGAACUGCGUCUGAUACUGGAUGGCUUGGAUUCGGGAGAGGAAUGCGGAAUUCCAGGUGUAGCGGUGAAAUGCGUAGAUAUCUGGAGGAACACCGGUGGCGAAGGCGGCAUUCUGGACCGACAUUGACGCUGAGGAGCGAAAGCCAGGGGAGCAAACGGG
RNAcentral lists this ribosomal RNA (253 nucleotides) under uncultured bacterium. RNAcentral's name for it is "partial 16S ribosomal RNA". It matches the Rfam family "Bacterial small subunit ribosomal RNA", at positions 524 to 776 of the family's 1533-position model. The record is from RNAcentral.